UGGAAAGGGUUCCCUGUUUUACUCUUCCGAGUGUCUGAGGUCAAAAGCUGAACAUCACUCCUAUAUUCUAGAACAUUUGGUAUCAUUUAUGUAAUUAAUGCAGAAUCUGUAUGUAUGUCUUCUUCAAAUAAGGAUCCGGAUUGAGACAGCGACUGCAGACCUGACUUGAUACUUAGGGGCCAAUCCUAAAAAUUCCUAACAGCCUUGGUGUCAGAAGUGGGAUAUUUCCAGACAGUAUAUUUUCAGUCCGUGUGUACAAGGACUUGUGGUGAAUUUCUCAGCUCAACGUCUGUGAAGUCUUCUGAUGUGGAACAGGAACUACUCAAUGUCAACCCAGCAUUGUGGGCCACCAACAAAGAUGAGGCUGGCCUAAUUGACGUUAGGCCAUAUGUGGCUAAACUUCGGUCUAACAUACCAGUAUACUGCAAACAGGACCCACUCUCAAAAGAAAAGGAAGAAGGUAUUGAUACAAUAAUACAACGGUCGCUGUCACAAGGUAUAUUGGAACCAACCCAUUCACCAUAUAACACACCGAUUAAUCCUGUCAAAAAGGCUAAUGUGUGCCAAUCUCGCCUGUCACGCAGCCCCUGUUCGCGUUCACGUACAGAGGCCAACAAUACACAUGGACAAAACUGCCCCAGGUAUUUAGAGACUCGCCUGCUGUGUUCUCUGCUGUAGUGCACACUACUUUGAAAGACACCAAGCUGCCACCACAGACCUGUCUGCUGCAAUACGCUGAUGACAUCCUGGUUUCAAGACAUCAAAAGACAAGCUGCAAUGGGUGAAACCAAGAAUUGACUAUCUGGAUCAUGAGCUGCAGAAAGGAACUAUUCGUCUCUCCACAGAUAGAGUCAAGACAAUAACCACCUUUCAGCGUUCAACAACAAAGACCCAAAUGCAAGGUUUUCUGUGCUUAGUUAAUUAUUUUUGAGCCUGGGUCCCAAACUGCUCAUUGUACGACAAGAUAUUGAGAGAGGCCACAUUCUCGGGGGCCGAAGAGCCCAUUAAAUGGACUGCUGAAAUGGACAUGGCUUUCAAGCACUUGCGUAACAGUCUAAGUUCCCCAUCAGCUCUAGGUCUGCCAAACUAUGGUGAACCUUUCCAUCUGUACGUGCAUGAGGCUAGAGGCACAGCAGCAGCGAUCCUCGCCCAGUCCCAUGGUGGAACAUAUAGACCGGUGGCGUACUUGUCGAAGACACUAGAUGCAGUCGCCAAAGGCCUCCCUGUGUGUCUGUGGGCGGUUGCUGCUGCGGCAUUGAUGGUACAAGAUGCAGAGCGCAUUGUUCUUUCAUACCCUAUGACUAUGCACACCUCGCAUCAGGUAGGAGCAAUUAUGCACAAUAUUAAUACACAACACAUGACAGCACAACGUCGAUCGGGGUAUAAGGCUGCUUUGUUGGCUACUGCUAAUUUCACUAUUAAACCAACCACUGUUGUGCAUGGUUCAACUUUGUCAUUGCAUAAGUUGUUAACCAAUGACCAGUUUUCUGAUGACUCACAUGAUUGCUUGGAUUGUCUGCAUGCAUCCACCUCUUGCAGGCUGGAUGUUUCCUCAUCCGCCCUGGAGGAGGGGGAUCACUGGUAUAUAAAUGGGUGUAGGGCUUUACUGGUUGUUUAGAUCAGUGUUACUAUCAGAAAUAAUUAAUAAUUAUUUCUUUAGUUAUUAAUUAAUAUUUAAAUUAAUUAAUUGAAUCUAACUCAUUAAAACCUCAUAUGGGGCUCUAGUAAAUGUAGUGUGCUAUGUUUAGGAGCAAGUUUGGUUCAAUAUAUCAAAGAUAAUUAUUAAUUAUUAAAAUCAAUAGAACAUUGAUGAGAAUCAAUGUUAGUUUUUUAAUCCUUUAAAUCAACAAUUAUCAAAGAUAAUCGUUAAUUGUUAACAUCAAUGAAACAUUAAUUAAAAUUAACACUAGCUUAUUGAUCAUUCAAAUUCAACAAUCAUCAAAGAUAAUUAUCAAUUAUCAAAAAUCAACAGAAUAUUAAUAAGGAUUAACAUUGAUGGGACACCACCCUGGAAUCAGGGACUAAUAACCAGAUAGUAAAACAGUCUCAAUAUUAGAUUGUUUUCUUAGGAAAAUCGACAUCCGAAGAAUAUCGAUUUUCGGGAAAAAAAAAAAAGGAAUGAAGGCUUGAAUCCGAUCACUGACAUCUCGUCAGCAUGACACAGGCAUAUGCAAAACAAACCAAAACACUUCUCUUUGUAAUAUAAACAAAGUUUAUUUAUGCAGUAAUAUCAGUUAAUAAUUUAUACAAUACAGUCAAUAAACUUCCGACUUACAACUACAAACUAAACAGUGAUAUGAUUAGAUAUGGAAACUAAAAUAAUCCUAUAACACAUAAGGUGUGUGUGUGACAGUGUGUGUGUGUGUGUGUGUGUGUGUGUGUGUGUAAGGAGGGACGCGCACAAAAUGGCGGACGUGACUCUCGUGGAGAGUAUGUCACGCCAGACUUCCGGCCAGGGAAUAUGACCGCGAAUGGGGGCGGAGAGAAACCAGUCAAUGGCGUCUACCAGUUACCGCGUGUAUCCGCUUGUACGAUAGCUUAGGGACAAAGCUGGGCUUUAGCAUUAAGCUAUCUACGAGCCAAAAAUGUGUACCAGAAUGUUUAUGAGGGGUCGCGUGCGUGUGUGUGUGUGGUUAGUACGAGAGAGAGAGAAGUGACGGCCCUAAAGCCGAUUUCGCGAUCGUGGGAGAGAAAGCAGCUGUUAGUUCAUCGCUCAGAGACGCGGUGGAUGGCUCGUAAACAGUCCCGCGUUCUUUGACUCUUUAAUGGAUGAACUCAGUUUACCUGUCUCACCCGCGAUGGCGAAAUUGCACAACAGUCCAAUUUGGUUGGACUACAAUACAGCAAAACAAAUUUGUGAUAAUUAAUACCCUGAGUAUUAAUAAUGAGCGGACAUGGCGGUCUGUAAACUGUACAAGCAAAAACCUUGAAACACAAGAAUAACACACUAUAAUAUUCUAUCUCUGCCCAGACGUAAACCUCUUACUUGAAUCGUAUGAAGACGCAGGUAGAAUGUGUUUUCCUCCGUCCUUUAACUCCGACCCGGUUCCUUGAGGCUCGGGUGAUGACGGGAGGCCGUUUCCUCGCUCUGUUGGCGGGCACGGCUGUUGAUUCUCGGCGGGCUGGCGGAGAACUCAGAAAUGUCGACUUGAUUGAAGAUGGAAGAGAAAUCUUUAAUCUCUUCACUUAUGCAGACAAACGGGUGAAGAUGCGGAUUGCUCAGUGGUCUCCUUCGGAUCCGUUAGAGUGUUCGGUUGAACACAGAGUAAUCUCAACUUGUCCAGCGAAAUGGAGAUUGUAUGGCCACGGUUUCUAGUUGGACGUUACUUCCUUGUGCCACGAGGUUGCACCUGAGAGCAGCGGUGAGCUGCGUCUACACACUGCAAACAAAGUUGCUGGAAGCAAAUCCCGGAAGCAUUUCAGAGGUAUUUCUACUCCUGAUGAUGUCAUGGUUUGAGGGACGUUCUGUUGUGUGCCUCAUCCAAUAGGAGUUGAGAGUUCGAUCCUUUAGUGAGCAAGGCUUCAUGGGAUUUGUAGUCUGUUUUGGACUCCCUUUGUUUGAUUUUGGCACGAUUUUUAUCAGUAAGAUUUACGACUUGGUGUGUGGGGGCUGAGUUAGGUUUUAUGACUGUGUAAGGCCUGCCUUUGUCUUCUAUCUGAAUACAUGAGGCCCAACAUGGGUCAUGUUCAAAACCGAAUGAUGCUGUAUACUGGUGUGGUUAUGACGUAACUGAACUUCCAAAUCGUAUUAUCGAAGCAUAUUUACUUCCAUACAAAUCCGCACAAGCAGCAUGAGUUGUUUGCAUUGAUUAGAGCAUGCCAAUUGGCCAAAGACAAAUCAAUCAAUAUAUACACAAACCAAUAUCAAUAUCAAAUCAAUCAAUAUAGACUCAAAAUACGCAUAUGGAUGCUGCAUGAUUUUGCCCGUAUGUGGGAAGAAAGAGAUUUUAAGACAGCCGAGGGCAAACCGAUAUCCCAUCAUAACUUAGUAGCAGAGCUCCUGAGAGCAGCACAGUUGCCUGCUAAACCGGCUGUAAUAAAAGUCGCAGGGCACAUGACAGGAGAGUUUGAGGAGCCAAGGAGAAACAGAUUGGCUGAUGAGGUUGCAAAAUGGGCAGCGAAGGAAGUUGUGGUAAGCCCUGAUCUAAAUCAAGCUGAUGAAACUGUUUUGAUGAUGCAGUCUACUUUAGUCAGAGAUAUUGACAUCAAAUUGUUGCAGGAAAAUCCAUCUGAAUCUGAUCUCCAACACUGGGCCUCUAAUGAAGUAAAACCAAAUCAAAAUAAUUUGUUACGAGACAAACAAGGGCACCUAGCUUUACCAAAAACAGCCAUAGUGAUACUUUGUCAACAUUAUCAUGGUAUUUUUCAUGUGUCAAAAGAAAAGGUAAUCCAGUCAAUUAAUCAAACUUAUUGCAUAAAUGGGGUGCAGAAUGCAGUAAAUUUGAUCUUGGAUUCAUGUAUAACGUGCACACAGAAUAACAGACAUAAGCCUAUAAAACACGACUCGUUACUGCAUCCAGAACUACCAUUCCAACAUUUGCAAAUUGAUUUUAUACACAUGCCACCGUGUCGAAACAAUAAACUAUUAUUAGUCAUUGUGGACUGCUUCUCCAAGUGGAUGGAAGCCUUCCCGUGUGCGAGGGAAAAUGCUAAGACCGUGGUUAAAAUUUUAGCUAAGAAAUAAUACCGAAGUUCGGUAUCCUGUCGAUCAUUGAAAGUGAUAAUGGCACACCGUUUGCUUCAUAGGUAACACAGCUCUUAGCAAAAGAACUAAACAUAAACUGGCAUUUUAACAUAUCGUAUCAUCGGAGAACUAACUGCACUCUGAAAGAAUGCCUACACAAGGCCUGUACUGAAACAGGAAGAACAUGGGUUGAUAUAAUGCUGGCUGUGUUGACUGAGCUCAGAAAUUCACCAUACUCUACCUAAGCUUUCUCCAUUCCCAACCCCAUGGAUCAAAGGCCGCACUGGCUUUCUCUCUCCACAGGUGACACUGAGGUGUUGAUCGCAGAAUAUGUGGAUUCCCUCAUUAAGACAUUAAGUGGCAUAAAUGGUAAUGCCUCUCUCUCUCUCUCUGCCUGCAGAUAGCCCUACUCACCCAUUUGUCAGCAGGUUCUGAUCAGCUGUCUAAAACCUACUAAGCUGGGGGAGCCAAAGUAUCUGGGCCCAGCUACUGUUCUGGUGGUGAUCAGAACCGGAGUGCUAACGGAUCUUCAAUCACAGUGGAUACAUGCAAGCUGUGUGAAACCUGCACCUGAGGAGAGCCCGAAAAAACGAUGAAAGUACUGGAGGAGCUGAACACGUAGCGCCAGUGCCUAACCGGGAACUUGAGAAUUAGGAGGGCCAGAGGAGGGAUGAAAACUACAUAAUAUUGAUAUGCUUCAUUAUGUACACUUACAUGCUGUCAAAAUCAGCUGAGAUUCUGAGUGAUCCUUCCAGGAUCAAAGUGGGCAUUGGGAGAAAAGUCUCAGCACCUCUAAUUUGACCUUUUCAGUUGAUCUAUAAUUAAGCAAGCUGACAUUUAACGGCUAGUACUAAGUUCCUUUUUUCAUAGUGUGUGUGUGUCAGUAACGGAAAUCAUGUGGAAAGGGUUCCCUGUUUUAUGCUUCUGAGUGUCUGAGGUGAAAAGCUGAACAUCACUCCUAUAUUCUAGAACAUUUGGUAUCAUUUAUGUAAUUAGUGCAGAAUCUUUAUGUAUGUCUUCUUCAAAUAAUGUAAUGACGAUCUCAUUGGAUAAUGUAGUUAGUGUACAGCUUUUCCUGUUCCUACAAAGGUAUAUAAUGCUGUGCUGAACAAUAAAGUAUGAGAAAUCUUUGAUGCAUA
Molecule: long non-coding RNA, 5823 nt
Organism: Myxocyprinus asiaticus (Chinese sucker)
Lineage: Eukaryota; Metazoa; Chordata; Actinopteri; Cypriniformes; Catostomidae
Exons: 4
Source: RefSeq, a predicted model, not a curated record